Molecule: long non-coding RNA, 881 nt
Organism: Prionailurus viverrinus (fishing cat)
Lineage: Eukaryota; Metazoa; Chordata; Mammalia; Carnivora; Felidae
Exons: 4
Source: RefSeq, a predicted model, not a curated record
AGGGAUAUAUUGUUAGCUCAUUGUGGUAUCUCGUUAAUUUGUUAUCUCCAAACUAACUAGUGAUGGUGAGAAGAAGGAUCAUUGCCAUCUGGAUCACCAUUGACUGGUACAAAGUGAAACUGUGGAUACUGGAGGAUUGCUGUGUACCUUCUGAAGAUGUAUCCUUUAUCAUGUAUCAUGAAGCAUAUCAUAUGCACAUAAGUGCUUUGCAAAUAUUCUCUCCCUGACUGUGACUUGCCUUUUCAUUUUCUCAACAGCAUCUUAUGAAGAGUAGAUGUCUUUAAUUUUAAUGAAAAGCAGUUGCUCAAUCUGUUCUUUUAUGGACCAUGCUUUUGUUUUGUUUUGUUUUGUUUUGUUUUGUUUUGUUUUGGUGUUGGGACAGGUGCGAAUUAAGAGGGCUUAUGCAAGGUGCUGAAAAAGUGAAGGAAGGUUAAUUCAUCCAAAAUUUUGUGAAAAGUUUGUACCAUAAGUUGUACUCCAGGGCCUAAAAUAUAUUACUUGAUGUGACUACACAGCAAGAGGUCAAUAAUUAGACUGUGACUAGAGUACUCGCUGUUCGUCUUUGUUAUGCUAUGUGUCUGAUUCCAGGGAAGCCAUAAGUAUUGAGGAGUUCCCUAUGCAUGGCAACUGGUGUCACCUACAAUCAAAUGUGUAGGGACGAUCAGAAGACCAACUCAAGAGAAAAGAGGAAAUACGACAUGCCUGUUAUUUACAUUAGUUAAGCAAGGGAGAAGUAUGUUUAUGCAAGCAACCCUCACCUGCAAAGACAAUUCAAGUCUUCAGGGGAAUUCAUGGAUCAAGAAAAAUAAUACAUUCUUCCCAUAUUAUAGAAUAUUUCCAUCACUAAAUAUAACUCAAUGCCAACUUCUGCAGUACCCAUC